RNAcentral lists this long non-coding RNA (2120 nucleotides) under Ornithorhynchus anatinus (platypus). Its description in RNAcentral is "lncRNA (ENSOANG00000051320.1)". The record is from RNAcentral. Lineage: Eukaryota; Metazoa; Chordata; Mammalia; Monotremata; Ornithorhynchidae.
UUCUGACCCUUUGGCCUCACAUCCAGUAGCAGUGUUUUACUUAAUGCUCUACAUAUAUUUUAUCUUCCAGCACAUGCAGUUAACUCCCCAAAGAACAGGAGCUUCCUGGCACCUGGGAGAAAAGAUCCUCCUAGAAGGAAGCCUGCUGUCACCUGGCAAUACAGACCAUCACAGACAGUGAAACAGUAACGCUGACAGCAGAUGUACAAACACUGAAAAUGCUAAACCAGUCACGCAACUCGGUGAGGACCCACAGCCCACAACCUGGAAGAAACUGAGUGGUCUGGAAUAAAUCAGCCUUGAAUAAGUAUGAAUUACAGUGAAAUGGAAAAUGUGAUCCCCCGCACUGAUACUCUACUUCCUCUGGCUCACAGAUGCCAGAUAUAUCACGACUGUGUCACUAGGAUAUUUGGGAAGGGGAAGAAUAGAGCUGGGAUGAAAAUGAAAAAAGAAGAGAGUUGUAGAAAAAGGAAGACAUCAGUGGAGAAGUCAAGACAGGGGAAAGAAAAUGAACAGGAGGAGAAAAAAAUAGGAAAGAAUCAAGAAUCCCAUCAUCCUAAAUCAAGAAUCCCAUCAUCCUAACAGUGGCCAGACUUCUUCCAAGUCCGAUUGAUCUUUAAAGGAUAAAUGGGGAAAAAGAUGAAGAAACAACAAAGGUUAUGAAGAUUGAGAAACUGAAAAGGACAAUAUCUUGAGUUUGUAUUAUAAUUUUUCCAAAGAAUUUUCACUCAUUUACCCCAUUUUAUCUUCACACUAUCCCUGGAUGUGUUAUUAGUUCUACUAGAUAUUAGUUCCAUUUUACAGAUGAGGAAAGUGGCACAGAGAAGUGAAGCAAACAGCCCCAGACAAGUUGGGACUAGAUUCCACGUCCCUCUGUCCCCAGACCAGUGCCCUCAGCACUACGUCCUUUCCACAGUGGCCCAAGAUUCUUUGUCACUGGCCAAAAAAUAUGAGAAAUUACAAGGGCUCCCAAUGGUUUCAAAAAAUUUAAGAUGCUUAAUGUGUUGAUAACUGUUAUAGGAAGCACUCAGUAAAUCCACUGACUACAUACAUAGGACACGUCAGUUUUAUUUUUGAUUUUACCUCCUACUUUCUCGAACUGGGGCGAAUUCAACCUUGCUGAAAUCUACACGUGUAAAAUCAUCAUACACACAUUACUUGUGUCACAGGCCUGACCUGGCAUAAAGAACUUUAUGGUUAGUUAGAAGAUCUGAAAUGAGAUUUCAUUCGUGUUUAUUUGUAUAAUUAUUAUUUUUGUAAUAAUCAUAAUUAUGAUAUUUGUUAAGCACUUACUACUUGCCAGGCACUGUACUAAGCACCAGGGUGGAUACAAGCAAAUUCAGUUGGACACAGUCUCUGUCCCACUUAGGGCUCACAGUCUCAAUCCCCAUUUUAACAGAUGAGGUAAGUGAGGCCCAGAGAAGUGAAUUGACUUGCCCAAGGUCACAUAGCAAACAAGUGGCUGAGCUGGAAUUAGAACCCAUGACCUUCAGACUCCCAAGCCCAUGCGCUAUCCACUACACCAUGCUGCUUGUCUGUAAUGCGGCUGAAGGAAACUAUCGUUCCCCUUAUGGACCCCAAAAUAAAAAGUGAAAUGGAACACCAUAUAGUAUACGACGGCAAUUCCAAAGACAAUCUUCAGGGGAAUAAACCCUUCUUCGAGCAAAACAACAUGAAGCUGUUGGGAAAUUAUCGUCCAUAGUGGUAGGAAAAAUGAGCUUCAUUCAUCAUUUCCAUUUUUUCUAGUCCCACGCUUGCCUUGCUUGGCCUCUUGUGGAUUUUUCCGCACUCUUUCUAUCUUUUUUGAAAAAGACCUCACUCUCGUCGAUGUAAAUUGAUAAUAUUCUGGAAGGGGCAGCAUCGAAGGUAAAGCGACGGUGUGCGUCUGGCUCGCUUUGCCCAUCCCUCGGCCUAAGACACUGGGGAUAAGCAGGGCUCAUCGAUCUGGGUUGUGCAGUGCAGCUUUUCCAUUUUUCUAAAGGCAUCGGCGAGGUUGAUGUUGAAUGUCGGCUUUUCCAAAUUGGGAUGGGGGCAGCGGCACUGGAGACUUCAGUAAAGCAGCAGCCUGGGGAAGAAGCCUGGGCCAGGACAAGACGGCUGGGUGGAGCCGAGGGCACAGG